UACGUAGGGGGCAAGCGUUGUCCGGAUUUAUUGGGCGUAAAGAGCGUGUAGGCGGCCACACAGGUCCGUUGUGAAAACUCGAGGCUCAACCUCGAGACGUCGAUGGAAACCGUGUGGCUAGAGUCCGGAAGAGGAGUGUGGAAUUCCUGGUGUAGCGGUGAAAUGCGCAGAUAUCAGGAAGAACACCUAUGGCGAAGGCAGCACUCUGGGACGGUACUGACGCUGAGACGCGAAAGCGUGGGGAGCGAACAGGAUUAGAAACCCCCGUAGUCC
Molecule: ribosomal RNA, 273 nt
Filed under: uncultured bacterium
Lineage: Bacteria
Description: partial 16S ribosomal RNA
Rfam family: Bacterial small subunit ribosomal RNA
Source: RNAcentral